AGUGAACGCUGGCGGUAGGCCUAACACAUGCAAGUCGAACGGCAGCACAGUAAGAGCUUGCUCUUACGGGUGGCGAGUGGCGGACGGGUGAGGAAUACAUCGGAAUCUACUUUUUCGUGGGGGAUAACGUAGGGAAACUUACGCUAAUACCGCAUACGACCUACGGGUGAAAGCAGGGGAUCUUCGGACCUUGCGCGAUUGAAUGAGCCGAUGUCGGAUUAGCUAGUUGGCGGGGUAAAGGCCCACCAAGGCGACGAUCCGUAGCUGGUCUGAGAGGAUGAUCAGGCACCCUGGAACUGAGACACGGUCCAGACUCCUACGGGAGGCAGCAGUGGGGAAUAUUGGACAAUGGGCGCAAGCCUGAUCCAGCCAUACCGCGUGAGUGAAGAAGGCCUUCGGAUUGUAAAGCCCUUUUGUUGGGAAAGAAAAGAAGCAGGUUAAUACCCCGCUGUUCUGACGGUACCCAAAGAAUAAGCACCGGCUAGCUUCGUG
Molecule: ribosomal RNA, 492 nt
Filed under: uncultured bacterium
Lineage: Bacteria
Description: partial 16S ribosomal RNA
Rfam family: Bacterial small subunit ribosomal RNA
Source: RNAcentral